AAGUCUCAGAGUUCUUGAAUGCCAAAGAACAAAAUGCUAUGGUUGUUUUGGAACAAGGUGGAUGCAUCCAAUACAAAAGAGGUUGAUGGAAACUGUGUUUGCUAAAGUUGGAUAGCGCAGUCUCAAAUUUACAGAUCUUACUUGCUCUCUAGACAGAACCUACUUACCCUUCAAACAACUUAGAGUGGCACCACAAUAAAGUGCACAAACUGUAUUCUGUCAACAGUGCAUGAUAUAUGAACAUAAGCACUCAGUAAGUACAGUGGUAGUAUAAGCAAAAUGUUAUUCAAUGGUUUGGAGGAACCUAAGUUAAAUUGAUUUUGAAGAAUCUUGUUUGCUGAUAAGGACUUCUAACAGCCUAAGUUUGGCUUUAAUUUUCUUGUACUCCCUGUACUCAUCAAGCAUUGGAACCCGAUCUUCUUUCUGUACAUUCCUUCCAUUCUGCUGAUAAAAC
Molecule: long non-coding RNA, 454 nt
Filed under: Gallus gallus (chicken)
Lineage: Eukaryota; Metazoa; Chordata; Aves; Galliformes; Phasianidae
Source: RNAcentral